This 630-nucleotide long non-coding RNA is filed under the name Apteryx owenii (little spotted kiwi). RNAcentral's name for it is "lncRNA (ENSAOWG00000002460.1)". Lineage: Eukaryota; Metazoa; Chordata; Aves; Apterygiformes; Apterygidae. The record is from RNAcentral.
UUGCGCUUUAAUCAGGUGAGACAGCCGGCGAGACGUGAAUUUUUUCCUUUUCUCUUUACAGGCAGGCAACAGAAGCACAAAUUGUGUGGCUUGCUGAGUUCGCAUAGGAAUGGCCUUGCUAGCGAUGGAGGGAAAAUCCAGAUCUCCCAAGUACCAGACCAGCAUCUCCAUCAAAGAUCAUCCUUCUGCCUGGUUUCUGCUCUGGUUCCUGAAUGAUGCUCAACCCUUCUGUUCCUGAAGCGGAGCCUGUGCUUAGGACAACGCAUACAGCAGCUGAUGGAGAAUGCGCCGGCAUUUUGGAGGUGCUCAGACUGAGCAAAUGAAGAGGGGAGGGAGAUGUUUCUACUAGAGCAGCGGAGCAGAGGAAAAUGUGCAGUCAACAGUUGUUUGGAGGGCUUUCCGUCUGCUGCUGCUUCAUUAAGAGGCUUCCAUAUUACACGUGUGGGACUGCAACAGCUGAAAGCAGGGCUGGGGGAUUCCUCGUGUGCAUCCAUCAUCUCUAAAUGCCUCUCUGCAUCCUGGUCUGAAUUCAGCAGCAAGUACAAGCAGCCUGGCUCACCGACAGCAGAUAAAGAAGAGCCAGCAUCCAAACUGGAUCCAUUUCUUUGAAGCUUAAAAAAUGGUCCGCUG